Myotis davidii is the source of this 431-nucleotide RNA transcript. It is a transcript of the gene named 60S ribosomal protein L34 pseudogene, with no coding region annotated. The record is from RefSeq and is a predicted model, not a curated record. Lineage: Eukaryota; Metazoa; Chordata; Mammalia; Chiroptera; Vespertilionidae. The transcript is spliced from 2 exons.
AUGAUUCCUCCUCCUCCUAUGUUUUCCAUCAACUUUAGAGAUGCAUUCACCACGGUCCAGCAUUUGGCAUACCGUUGGAGGCUGUCCUACAGUACAGCCUCUAACAAAACUAGGCUGUCCUCAAUCCCUGGUAAUAGAAUUGUUUGCCUUUAUACCAAGAAGCUUGGGAAAGCACCAAAAUCUGCAUGUGGUGUGAGCCCAGGCCGACUUAGAGGUGUUUGUGCUGUGAGAACUAAAGUUCUAAUGAGGUUGUCUAAAACGAAAAAACAUGUCAGCAGGGCCUAUGGUGGAUCCAUGUGUGCUAAAUGUGUCCGUGACAGGAUCAAGUGUGCUUUCCUUAUUGAGGAGCAGAAAAUCAUUGUGAAAGUGUUGAAGGCACAAGCACAGAGUCAGAAAACUAAAUAAAUUUUAAAAAUGAAGCUUUUUUUGGG